Molecule: long non-coding RNA, 409 nt
Organism: Xenopus laevis (African clawed frog)
Lineage: Eukaryota; Metazoa; Chordata; Amphibia; Anura; Pipidae
Exons: 3
Source: RefSeq, a predicted model, not a curated record
CGCGCGUGCGCAACGGCGCGCAGCCCAGGGCCCGCAUGUGGUUGUGCGCAAAGAACUUCAACUCCACAGAGGGAAAAAGCUGUUUUUCAAUGGCGCACUCCUCCGGCGGUGCGCUGUGUGUGACGUCGCCGGCGGCGCGCUGCUUGUGACAUCAAGGUGGCGUGCUGCGUGUGACGUCACUGGCGGCGCCAAUUUUGAUCAUGGUUUUUGGUAGGCCGAAUGGGCCGACGGAGUGCUGCCUCCAUGUCUCCGUUCGACAUUCAAGAUGGAGGAUUUGCCAGCCCUAUAACAGCAUAUUUGGCUAGAUACCAGUUCUAAUUUAAUGAAACUUUCUAGUACCUGCUGAAAUACAGGUAUGGAAUUCAUCAUCCGGACACACGUUAUCCAGAAAACUCUACAGAAAGGCCAU